RNAcentral lists this long non-coding RNA (242 nucleotides) under Mytilus galloprovincialis (Mediterranean mussel). Lineage: Eukaryota; Metazoa; Mollusca; Bivalvia; Mytilida; Mytilidae. The record is from RNAcentral.
AUAAAACAUUGUAUUAAAUGUAUAAAUAUUUUAUAUGCAAAUAGAUUAAAGUUUGUUUUGUGACUUGUGAUCGAGCGAUUUACUUGGUAGGACCAUGGAAGUACUAUAUCAAUAUAAUACUUCCAUGGACUUAGAAUUUUUCUCGCAAUCUUCAAACAAUGACAAUAACUCCAGUUUUGGAUAAAAAAGGCCCCGAUUCAUUAAAUUUUCUAAAAUAUCAAAUAUAUAUCAUUGGAAAGAUU